AUUGAACGCUGGCGGCAGGCCUAACACAUGCAAGUCGAGCGGAUGAAGGGAGCUUGCUCCUGGAUUCAGCGGCGGACGGGUGAGUAAUGCCUAGGAAUCUGCCUGGUAGUGGGGGAUAACGUCCGGAAACGGGCGCUAAUACCGCAUACGUCCUGAGGGAGAAAGUGGGGGAUCUUCGGACCUCACGCUAUCAGAUGAGCCUAGGUCGGAUUAGCCAGUUGGUGGGGUAAAGGCCUACCAAGGCGACGAUCCGUAACUGGUCUGAGAGGAUGAUCAGUCACACUGGAACUGAGACACGGUCCAGACUCCUACGGGAGGCAGCAGUGGGGAAUAUUGGACAAUGGGCGAAAGCCUGAUCCAGACAUGCCGCGUGUGUGAAGAAGGUCUUCGGAUUGUAAAGCACUUUAAGUUGGGAGGAAGGGCAGUAAGUUAAUACCUUGCUGUUUUGACGUUACCAACAGAAUAAGCACCGGCUAACUUCGUG
Molecule: ribosomal RNA, 484 nt
Filed under: uncultured bacterium
Lineage: Bacteria
Description: partial 16S ribosomal RNA
Rfam family: Bacterial small subunit ribosomal RNA
Source: RNAcentral